This is a long non-coding RNA of Monodelphis domestica (gray short-tailed opossum), 1647 nucleotides long. The record is from Ensembl. NCBI's taxonomy places the organism in Eukaryota, Metazoa, Chordata, Mammalia, Didelphimorphia, Didelphidae.
GGGCCUUGAGUAGGUCAAGGAUUCCAGACCUGGACUGCAUGUACAGUUCCUGGAAACCCAGUCAGCACAAGAUUAAAUCUGUGUGUAAAUCCAGCAAAAAUGACACCUGGGAUUUGGCACGCCGAGGAAGGUGAUGGCGGGAGUGGGUGAGCUCCUGAGAUCCUAGAGGAAGGGAGGAGCCCGGGCUGUGGGACCCAGAUCCUACAAACAUGCCCCUGAGCUUGCGUAAGGCAGCGCUGUUAAGGGAUGGAAAGAGCCCUGCCUAGAACCCACAAACCCACCCUGAGUCCCAAAGCAAUGCUGGUCCAGAGAGGACCUUAGACUCCCUGCAGCCCCCGGAGCCUCUGGGCAGUCCCAGGACUUUGGGGACAGACUCCCUGCCUAGCUUUGGCCCUCAGGGAUUGCUGGCUGGACUUCUGAGGUUUUCUGCGCAGCUCUUGGUGCAUUCUUGGUCCAGUUGGAAUCACGCUCUACCCAGAGCUCCCCAUGUGGUCUAGCACUGGGGAAAGGCCCCAAAGAGCCUCGCCCUGGGCCGCCUAGCUCGAGAGCGUCUGGGCAUUGCAGGCAAGCUUCAACCUCCUCCCAGAGCCCUGGCCCAGGCGGAGGAGGAGCUUUGUGGUGGGAGCAGAUAUGUUAUCUCCUGUUUACUUCUUGGCGUGCCUGACAUGCUCUAGCCCGCGUUGGCCCCGACAUUCCUCUUCCCCCCUUUUGCAGGCACUUACUAGGAGUAGAAAUGAUAAACUAUCCCAGUCAGUCCGCUAAAAGAAGGAGCCUUUCGCGGAGAGGCAAAGAUCCCGGGCUGAGGCCUGGAUGAGGUCACAGGAAGGACUUACUUGAGCGAGUCUCCUUGUAAAGACCUGCCUUCAGGCCUCCUCAGCAUCAGAGCGGGGGUGAGGAUGGAGAGAGGCUUCCUCAGCAUCAGGGCAGAGGAUGGAGAGUGGCGUCCUCAGCAUCAGAGCAGAGGAUGGAGAGAGGCGUCCUCAGCAUCAGAGCAGAGGAUGGAGAGAGGCGUCCUCAGCAUCAGAGCAGAGGAUGGAGAGUGGCGUCCUCAGCAUCAGAGCAGAGGAUGGAGAGAGGCGUCCUCAGCAUCAGAGCAGAGGAUGGAGAGAGGAUGGAGAGAGGCGUCCUCAGCAUCAGAGCAGGGGCGAGGAUGGAGAGUGGCGUCCACGCAUCCCUCUCCCCGCCCCUUCUGAAGGACUCCUCGCCAGGGGGCUGGAUUACAAGAAACAGUGCUGACGCCCCACAAAAGUAGGCACACCGAGGAGCCGGUGCCCUGGGUAUGGAGAGACGGCCAGCCAGUUUUCCCCUGGAAGUCUGCCCAACAUGAACAGUGGUUUCAUCCAGACUUAAAACCGAGGUAGGACCCUGGCAAGAGAGAUCCGUCUGGGUUUUGUUUAGCCACGUCCAAUUCUUUGUAUCUUUUCCGGGUGUUUUGUUGGGUUGCUUUUGGUAAGGACUGCAGUGGUUGCCAUUUUCCUUCUACAGGUUUCCCCAAGGGUUAGAAAUGAUCUGCCCAGGGUCUCUAUACCAAGUGUGAGUCUGAAGUGAGAUCUGAGCUCAGAACGAUGAGGCUUCUGACUCCAGCUUCAGCCCUCUCCAUCGCACCAGCUACCUGCCCCAAUAAAGGGCCGUACCUACCCCCGAGCA